UACGAGGACCCCGAGCGUUAUCCGGAAUUACUGGGCGUAAAGCGUGAGUAUCCGGCUUUGCUAGUCUCAUGUUAAAUCUCAUUGCUCAACGAUGAGACCGCAUGGGAAACGGCAUGGCUAGAGCGGGUGAGAGGCAAGCGGAACGUGCGGUGUAGGGGUGAAAUCCAUUGAUAUCGCACGGAACACCAAAAGCGAAAGCAGCUUGCUAGCGCUCUGCUGACGGUCAAUCACUAAAGCGUGGGGAUCAAAAAGG
Molecule: ribosomal RNA, 253 nt
Filed under: uncultured bacterium
Lineage: Bacteria
Description: partial 16S ribosomal RNA
Rfam family: Bacterial small subunit ribosomal RNA
Source: RNAcentral